GACGAACGCUGGCGGCGUGCCUAAUACAUGCAAGUAGAACGCUGAAGGAGGAGCUUGCUUCUCUGGAUGAGUUGCGAACGGGUGAGUAACGCGUAGGUAACCUACCUGGUAGCGGGGGAUAACUAUUGGAAACGAUAGCUAAUACCGCAUAAGAGUAGAUGUCGCAUGACAUUUGCUUAAAAGGUGCAAUUGCAUCACUACCAGAUGGAACUGCGUUGUAUUAGCUAGUUGGUGAGGUAACGGCUCACCAAGGCAACGAUACAUAGCCGACCUGAGAGGGUGAUCGGCCACACUGGGACUGAGACACGGCCCAGACUCCUACGGGAGGCAGCAGUAGGGAAUCUUCGGCAAUGGACGGAAGUCUGACCGAGCAACGCCGCGUGAGUGAAGAAGGUUGUCGGAUCGUAAAGCUCGGUUGUAAGAGAAGAACGAGUGUGAGAGUGGAAAGUUCACACUGUGACGGUAUCUUACCAGAAAGGGACGGCUAACUACGUG
This 495-nucleotide ribosomal RNA is filed under the name uncultured bacterium. RNAcentral's name for it is "partial 16S ribosomal RNA". It matches the Rfam family "Bacterial small subunit ribosomal RNA", at positions 28 to 507 of the family's 1533-position model. The record is from RNAcentral.